RNAcentral lists this ribosomal RNA (192 nucleotides) under Triticum aestivum (bread wheat). Its description in RNAcentral is "partial small subunit ribosomal RNA". Lineage: Eukaryota; Viridiplantae; Streptophyta; Magnoliopsida; Poales; Poaceae. The record is from RNAcentral.
AUGUGGAAGAAAGAAUAUCAGGACCACCUGGGCCCAAUGGAGGAACCAGAAGAACAGGAGGGAGAGGAAGAGUGUGAACAAGCAAUUGUGCUUGAUGGUACUAAUGUGGAAAGAUUAAGGAGGGAGGAGGUGGCUCCCAGGAAUCUCUUUACUUAUUGUUGGUUCACAGGAUGUGCUUGUCCAAUCCACUGA